CUCAUAAAUCAUGACACGAUACCACCCUUCGUGCAAUAACACUCUCCGUCACCAAAAACAAUGCACAAUAAUAUCAGGGAGAUAGAAAUAUCAAGAACAAAUCUUAAUUGCUUCAACAUUUGGUUCCACACUACCAACCUCAACUUUGAAUCAAUAUUCUAUCAAUACCAAAAUCUGAAAAUAUGAUAAGAAUGAUAAACGUAACGAUAAGCUAGUCUAAACAUUGGUAAUAUGAUCACGGAAAGCGACAAUUUCAUGAAUAUGACUCACUUGCAUGCUAUGACUCGACAACAACGCAUAGGUACUCGUCACCUCACCUUUACGAUG
RNAcentral lists this long non-coding RNA (327 nucleotides) under Nicotiana benthamiana. Its description in RNAcentral is "long non-coding RNA (NBEN_LNC017775)". Lineage: Eukaryota; Viridiplantae; Streptophyta; Magnoliopsida; Solanales; Solanaceae. The record is from RNAcentral.